This 1233-nucleotide ribosomal RNA is filed under the name metagenome. Its description in RNAcentral is "bacterial LSU rRNA". It matches the Rfam family "Bacterial large subunit ribosomal RNA", at positions 1564 to 2808 of the family's 2925-position model. The record is from RNAcentral.
UGAAUACGAGACGCUAAGGCGUCGAAGUAGUGUAUGUCAUACUUCCAAGAAAAGCUUGCACUGUCAUAGAUAAAAAACGCCUGUACCAUAACCGACACAGGUGGGUAGGUAGAGUAUACUAAGGGGCGCGAGAUAACUCUCUCUAAGGAACUCGGCAAAAUAACUCCGUAACUUCGGGAGAAGGAGUGCCUUAUUCGUAAGGUUGCAAUAACAAGAUCCAAGCAACUGUUUAUCAAAAACACAGGUCUCCGCUAAGUCGUAAGACGAUGUAUGGGGGCUGACGCCUGCCAGUGCCAGAAGGUUAAAGAAGUUGGUUAGCAAUUGCGAAGCUGAUAACUGAAGCCCUGGUGAACGGCGGCCGUAACUAUAACGGUCCUAAGGUAGCGAAAUUCCUUGUCGGGUAAGUUCCGACCCGCACGAAAGGCGUAAUGAUUUGGAUACUGUCUCGGAGAGGGGCUCGGUGAAAUAGACUUGUCUGUGAAGAUGCGGACUACCUGCACCAGGACAGAAAGACCCUAUGAAGCUUUACUGUAACUUGAAAUUGAAAUUGGACUUUAUUCGCGCAGUAUAGGUGGGAGGCGUUGAUUAUAAUCUUGUGGGAUUAUUGGAGCCAUCAGUGAGAUACCACUCUUGUAAUGUUAGAUUUCUAACUUUGAAUCAUUAUCUGGUCAAAGAACAGUUUCAGGCGGGCAGUUUGACUGGGGCGGUCGCCUCCUAAACGGUAACGGAGGCGUACAAAGGUUUCCUCUGAACGGUUAGAAAUCGUAUCUAGAGUGUAAAGGCAUAAGGAAGCUUGACUGUGAGACCUACAAGUCGAGCAGGGACGAAAGUCGGUCUUAGUGAUCUGACGGUACUGAGUGGAAAGGCCGUCACUCAACGGAUAAAAGUUACUCUAGGAUAACAGGCUGAUCUCCCCCAAGAGUUCACAUCGACGGGGAGGUUUGGCACCUCGAUGUCGGCUCAUCGCAUCCUGGGGCGGUAGUACGUCCCAAGGGUUGGGCUGUUCGCCCAUGAAAGCGGUACGCGAGCUGGGUUCAGAACGUCGUGAGACAGUUCGGUCCAUAUCCGGUGUAGGCGUUAGAAUAUUGAGAGGAGCCUUCUUUAGUACGAGAGGACCGAGAAGGACAUACCUCUGGUGUACCAGUUAUCGUGCCAACGGUAAACGCUGGGUAGCUAUGUAUGGAGUGGAUAACCGCUGAAAGCAUCUAAGUGGGAAGCCCACCUCAAGAUAAG